Molecule: non-coding RNA, 7864 nt
Organism: Rattus norvegicus (Norway rat)
Lineage: Eukaryota; Metazoa; Chordata; Mammalia; Rodentia; Muridae
Source: RefSeq, a predicted model, not a curated record
AUGUCAUCUGGGACUUGAGAUGAGCAGAGGAACAUGGUCCCCUGGAGUACAAGAGCCAGAUUAGAGAAGGUGGCUUCUAGCAUGGGAUCUAUAUUGGCCAUAUUUGAGGCCUCCUGGCCUCUGAGUAUCUGGCUCUCCCUCUCCUCCCUCUGCUUGUUCUGUCUAUGUGACUGUUUGCUGUAAAAUAUGGGCUAGAUGCUACUUCCAAGAGCUGGCUGUCCCAAGUAAAGGCAUCUCUCUCUGCUGUCAGUGAGACCUUAGCAGAGCAUCAAGAUCACAGAACAGUAAAUAAACAACCACAGCACAGUCGACAUGGUUGCUGAAUGGAUGAAUGAUAAAAAACAAACAAACAGGGGUUGGGGGUUUAGCUCAGUGGUAGAGCGCUUGCCUAGGAAGCACAAGGCCCUGGGUACGGUCCCCAGCUCCGGAAAAAAAAAAAAAAAGAACCAACCAACCAAACAAACAAAAACAACAAAAAACAAACAAACAAAAGGAGAACAUGACUGCUCCUAGGGAUGGUGGAGAAGUAUUAUUGUCCAUGUGAAGGAGAACGUAGCUGGAGGCAGAGGCAUCUGGGAGAGUGCAGCCUGAGGGAUACCAGCAAACAGUCACAUAGACAGAGCAAGCAGAGGGAGGAGAGGGAGAGCCAGAAACUCAGAGGCUAGGAGGCCUCCAAAGGGUUCAAAAAGGCAAAAGAGUGCAUAGCCAAAAUGGCUGGGUUACAUGGGGAAGAGCAGCUGGUGGAAGGGUAACCCUGCCCAGUCCCCGAGGCUGGCAGACAGAGGGCUCUAGAACAGCUAAGGGACUGAGAGAUUCUGAGAGAACCUGGGGGCCAGCAUCAGCUUUGAUGUGUUAAUGGACAUCUUAGUUGUGGGAGUGGUUCACCUCAUGCCUCGGUCUUUUUGCUGAGGUUGAGGAAGGACAAAAGGCCAUAAAGGGUGACAUAAUCUCUAACUACUUUCUGCCGAAACAGCAGUCAGUGAGGCCUCAGGGGCAGGAGUAUCAGGAUAACAGAAUAACUUAAUAAAGAACAACAUGGUUAUUGAGUGGGGAACACGGACUGCAUAGUAAACACUCGUAUUCCUGGAUCUCUUGGCCCAAACCUUCCCACGGCUCUGAAAGUACUUAAUCUAUUGGCCUGAGAAGAGUUAUUAGGUAAGUGGCCUCUCUUCCCUCGGCUCCCUGAAGAGUCUGCUUUCCCCCACCGCCUACCCUAUCAACCCGCUCCUCUCUGUUCCUGUCACACAGAAAGGUUUAACCGACCUCUUGAUAAAUAUCUCAGGGAGGUUAAGAAAAAUGGCCUUGACAGCAGCAAGGCGAUGAUGUUCACUGGAGAGAGGCAGACAGCUCUCUGUCAGAGGAAACCUUUAAAAAAAAAAAAAAAAAAAAGCAAGAAUACCAAUAAACACAAUAAUUUUAAAUGAGGGCUGUAAAUUCAGCUGUAAAAUCUCACUGAAGUCUAAUCAUGAAAAAGAAAGAAAAAAAAACCACCUCUGAAAUAAUAAACCGUGGUCUAAAUUAGAGCACUGGCAAAUGUAGUCAUUUCUACCUAAGAGGCUUUGUGUCCAAACAUGUCAUUUGAGAUCGAAGGCAGACAAAGGAGAAGGCCCUUGGUAACAAGGCAGCCAUUCAAUCCCCAGCCCUGGGGCAUUGGACUUCCUCUGUGGGCUCAAAGCAUUUUCAGCCACAUUAGGCACCAGCUCCAAACCUGGUGGGAAGCAAACUUAAGUGUCUUUUUGAGUGGGAAACAAUGAGAAAGCUGUUUUUCCACAAAAGAGGAGAAUUCUACUGCUUGCUUUUCGGAUUGGCGGACCCAGAGUCCUGAGGAGGAAAUUGGGCUGUAGCUUGUACUGCUAGUUGUUGAUUCUUAAAAGAUGUUUCGGGACUGGCAAACCUUAUCCCAAAGGAAGGAGACGUCCCAGUUUCCUUAAUAAGCACACUUCUUCCCCACCCCUGGGAAGAAUGUUUAUCCUGCUCGUAUUUAUCUUUGGGAUCCCCAAGAAUGGAUUAAAUGAGGCUAUGUGUGAACGGACCCUAUAAUUAGAUAGGGGCCUGUGCUGAUAUUUUAGGAUAAUAGACAUUUUUAAAAAAGCAUAAUGACUCAUUCACCAUCGUCACUCUCAUUGAUUCGAGACUGUCUUCAGCUGAACAUGCUACUCGGACGGCCAAAAAAACCUGUGGAGAGAAAUAGAAAUAGAGGCAUUUGGGGCAGGGCUUGGACUAGUCAUGCCUGCUCGGGGAGGAGAAAGAUGUUCAGUGCUGUGGAAGACAGGGGAAGGGAGGAAGACACGGGUGCAGAGAGAGAGUUGUGAUUACUGCUGUGAAGAGAACCACAGGUUUAAAGAGAGGGAAAAAAGGCAUUAGGCAAGAUGGUACAGGCCUGUAGUCUCGGCAGUUGGGAGAUCAAGGCGAAGGAUGGAGCAGUGUCCAUCCUGGGCUACCUAUACAAUUCAAGGCCAGCCUAGACUAUGGAGCAAAAGCUGAUUCAAAACCAACCAAACAAACAAACCGAACAAGGGGCAGGUGGUUGAAAAAUUUGCCUCUAGAGCCCAAUCUUCAAGCCACAUAAACCAGGCAGGCACGGUGGCGCUAUCUAUGAUCCUAGCACUCAGAAGACAGGGAGAGAAGAAUGACAAUUCAAGGGCGACCUCCAAUGAAUGGUUGGUUGGAAGCUAGCCUGGGCUACAUGGGGUCUUGUUUCACAAACAAACAGGGCAUAUGAGGAGGCUUGGUGAGUAAAGGUGCCUGCUUGCCAAGCCUGGUAACCCGAGUUUGAUCCUUGGGACCCGUAUGGGGGAAGGAAAGAACUACUCCCCACAGGUUGUCUGGCUUCUAUACUUGUGGUAUGAGUGCAUGCACACGUGUGCACGUGUGCAGACAUACACAAUAAAAAAAAUGUAGGGGCUGGGGAUUUAGCUCAGUGGUAGAGCGCUUACCUAGGAAGCGCAAGGCCCUGGGUUCGGUCCCCAGCUCCGAAAAAAAGAACCAAAAAAAAAAAUGUAGAAACAAAAACAAGAAAACAAGGAUGGGGGUAGUGGGAUAUAUUCAUCGUCACACAAGAACCUUAGGUGUGAGCAGAGGCUAGCCCUACAGCGAUGGUUCUCAACCUGUGGGUCUCGACCCCCAGAGGUGUUAAAUGAUCCUUUUCCCGGGGUCACAUAUCAGAUACCCUGCAUAACAGAUAUUUGCAGUUCGUAACAGUAGCUAUAUCACAGCUGUGAUAUAGCAACAGAAAUAAUUUUUAUGUUUGGGGGUGUGUGUGUGAUGGUUUAUAUAUGCUCAGCCCAGGGACUGAUAGAAAGUGUGGCCCUGUUGGAGUAGGUGUGUCACUGUGAAUGUGGGCUUUAAGACCCUUAUCCUAGCUGCCUUGGAGUAGUAUUCUGUUAGCAGCCUUCAGAGAAAGAUGUAGAAUUCUCAGCUCCUCCUGCACCAUGCCUGCCUGGAUGCUGUUAUGUCCCUGCCUUGAUGAUAAUGGACUGAACCUCUGAACCUGUAAACCACUCCAAUUAAAUGCUGUCCUUGUAAGAGUUGUCUUGGUCAUGGUGUCCGUUCACAGCAGUAAAACCCUAACUAAGACAGGGGGUUAUCACAAUGUGAGGAAAGGGUGGCUGCACUGGGAAGGUUGAGAAGUACUUCUACAGGAUGAGGUUGUGAAAGGAGAAGUGUGGUCUUUUAACUAUAUUUAUUUUUUAGUAUGUGUGUUCAUGUAAGUGUGCUGCAUGUGUAUGGAGGUCAGAGAGGAGUUCACAGAACCCAGUUUCCACCUCCUAUACGGUGUGGUCCUAGGUAUUGGCAGUGAGUGUUGUUAAUCCAACGAGCCAUCUCGCUGGCUCAGAAAUGGCUUCUUUUAUUUUUAUUUUUAAAAAAUAUUUAUUUAUUUCAUGUAUGCGAGUACACUGUCGCUGUCUUCAGACACACCAGAAGAGGGCAUCGGAUCCCAUUACAGAUGGUUGUGAGCCACCAUGUGGUUUCUGGGAUUUGAACUCAGGACCUCUGGAAGAUCAGCCAGUGCUCUUCACCACUAAGCCAUCUCUCCAGCCCCAGAAAUGGCUUCUUUUAAAGCCAAAGAAUGAUGCCCCACCCCUAUUCAUCUCUUCCACCGUGACCGCUGGCCUUAAGUGGUGGACAUGUUCAGGACUGAGCGAUGAACAGUGUGUGGGAGGGGGAGGCACCCAGCUUUGUCUGCCUUUAUCCGAGGUGCCCAGCUGGGAUCAGCGUUUACCUAAGUAGACACUGCCGAGCUCAGCAUCCUUCUUCCCAGGACCUCCUGCUCUGGGUAUAUUCUCAGGACACAUUCUCAAAUGCCCUCUACCCGGCACACUCACUCUCUGUCCUGAAUAGACAGAGCCCCGUCUAGUCCAUUAAGUAUCAGAAACAGCUCGCAGAUGUCGUUAAGGUUCCUAAUCAGUUAAACUAGAUUUAAUCAAAAGGAGGUUAUCUGGGUGGGUCUAAUCCAAUCUCGAGUACAUUGAAAGCAAAAUUUUAUUGACAGUUCGCAAAAGGGCGAGUCAGAGGGACUUAUGGGAGGAGGAAGGCUGGACGUGCCUGAAGAUGGAGGGCGUGCGCACUGUCCUCAGAGCAGCCCUGGCUGCCCACGCUCUGACGGCUGCUAGGUAACCGGACGUCAGCCUUGUAGCCGCACCGAACGAAACAUUGCUAACAAUCUGAGUGACCUCGGACUGAAGUGAGUCUCUCUCCAGGCCCUCAGCUGGCCAGCAGCAUUUUGGUGUCCCGCUGGGAGACCCAGAACACAGGCUCCAGUAGAGACUGCUGGGAUUUCCGGACCUGUGGGAAGAACUGUGGCCUCAUAUGGGGAGUUGUUUAAACAGCCAGCGGUGGUGGUCAUUUGUUACGCAGCCAUAGAAAACCAAACCAAACCCUCAGCUUCCUGAGAGUCUCCUCUGAGUGCUGAAUAAAAGUCAGUGCACUCAAAUGAAAGGAGUGUUUGGGAACCCUGGGGAGAUGAAGCUGUCAGCCAGCUGAGGCUGGCCCUGUCUAGGGAACAGAUUAAUUCCUUCUCUUUCAUCUCGGAAGAUUUUUUUUCUCAGGACCUUCCCUAUCACAAAUGACUGAGGACAUCAUCUAGAAAGCACACCUAUAGACUCCUCCCUUCUCCAGGGCCUCCAGGAUGGGCUACUGGCUGAUGGGAAAGGCAAAGGAAUCGAUCGUGUCCACUGGCUUUGACCAAGAGAUCUUUGGAAAGUUGGGGAGGGGAUGGCUUUGAAUCCCAUCAAUUCACUUUCCCAAAAACAUUGAUAUUUGGAUGUUGUACUGGCUGGUUUUGUGUGUCAACCUGACACAAGCUGGAGUUAUCACAGAGAAUGGAGCCGCCCUUGAGAUCCAACUGUAAGGCAUUUUCUCAAUUAGUAAUCAAGGGCGGGAGGGCCCAUUGUGGGUGGUACCAUCCCUGGGGUGGUGGUCUUGGGUUCUAUAAGACAGCAAGCUGAGCAAGCCAGGGGAAGCAAGCCAGUAAGUAACAUCCCUCCAUGGCCUCUGCAUCAGCUCCUGCUUCCUGACCUGCUUGAGUUCCAGUCCUGACUUCCUUUGGAGAUGAACAGCAAUGUGGAAGUCCCUGGAGUUCACUGCAAAGCACUAGGAUCCCAGACCUCAGAGGGAGAGAAAAAUCAGAAAUAUUUAAAAUGCACCCAUGGACCUCUUAGCUUCAAGUUAACUGAGUACGUUUACCUCGAAGUAUCAAGGGAUCUAUCUUUCUAGGGGGCUGACAGUGAAGUUGCAUUGACUGAUUGGAACUUUUGCCCUUCUGAGAAGUGCCCUAUGGCUACCUGUGUGCAAAAUGUAGCUCAGCCCUGUUUCAGGGUCCCCCUCAGUGUCUGCUGGAAGGAAAUGGUCUCUCCCUGGCCUGCUGCAGCUUGUCCCUGACCAUCUGCCUGGCUUUAUAUUUGGAACUUUUCCUUCAUAUCGUGUACUUCAGCUUCUCUGCUCUGGACUUGUUCUGUCUCUUUGGGGCCCUGUGCUAACUUUCUCUUCGUGAUAGUGUUUGUCAAGAAACUUCUGGGUGUCUGUCCUUCUCUUUAAUAGGCAGAGUCCUGUUUCAGCUUUAACUUCAUUCUGCUAAACUCUCUCUUUUUCACUGUCUCUCUCUCUGUCUUUUUGUCUGUCUCUCUCUGUCUCUCUCUGUCUCUGUCUCUCUGUCUCUCUGUCUCUCUCUCUCUGUCUCUCUCUCUCUCUCUGUCUCUCUCUCUCUCUCUGUCUGUCUCUCUCUCUCUCUCUCUCUCUCUCUCUCUCUCUCUCUCUCUCUCUCUCUCUGAUUUCUGAGACAGGAUUUCUCUGUGUAGUUCCUGGAACUAUCUCUGUCUGUAGACGAGGCUGGUCUCGAACUCACAGAGAUCUGCCUGCCUCUGCCUCCUGAGUGCUGGGAUUAAAGGUGUAAGCCACCAUCACCUGGCUUUUUUCUCUCGCUUUUAAAAAUUAUCAUUUUUAUUUGUGUGUGUGUGUGUGUGUGUGUGUGUGUGUGCCGCACAUGCCUGUGGAGGCUGGAGGAGGGCAUUACAUACAUCCCUUGGAACUGGAGUUACAAACAUUUGUCUGCUGCCCAGUGUGAGUGCUGGCAACAGAACUGUGUUCUCUGCACAGUCAGUAGCGCCCUUAGCUGCUAAGCCAGUUCUUUUUUUUUUUUUUAAAGAUUUAUUUAUUACAUAUUAAUAUAUUGUAGCUGUCUUCAGAUACACCAGAAGAAGGCAUCAGAUCUCAUUAUAAAUGGUUGUGAGCAGCCAUGUGGUUGCUGGGAUUUGAACUCAGGACCUCUGGAAGAGCAGUCAGUGCUCUUAACUUCUGAGCCAUCUCUCCAGCCCGCUAAGCCAGUUCUUAAGCCCCAUUCAAUUACUUUAUGAUCCUGUCGUGCAUGCUGUGGGGACACGUGGCCUACGUGCCCACCCAUGCUUGGCUGGCAUACCUGACUGUUAAUCGCAUGCUGGUCACUCUGACUCAAGACACACAGCUGCAAAAUAUAUUACGUUGAAGAGAUUUGGAAAAGAGAAAGAGCCCGUAAAGGGAGGCCUCUCCGACCUGCCUCUGUCCUGUGAAAAGUGUUAUCAAACCCAGGAAGGCGCUUAGCGUUGGUUACAGGGUGCACCUCUCAUCCCAGCACUUGUGAGGCAGAGCCAGGCAGAUCUCUGAGUUCAAGGCCAGCCUGGUCUACAGAGCGAGUUCCAGGACAGUCAGAGCUACACAGAGAAACCCUGUCUCAGACAAUAAAAAUGAAACAAAGACCAAGGAAUGCUUCCCCUGGACUCGAUGUGAAGCAGCUCCUACGGCUGGCCGUACCAUCCUGACACCAUUGGCCACCCAGGGACUCAGAAGAAUCCCAACAAACAGGCCUUGCCCGUUCCCAGUGUGUGGCCUUCAGACGGCACAUUUAGCUUUCUCAUACAACGGCCCACUCUUCAGACGUAACAUAAAUAUGCUGACUUAACGGUAUGAGUCAUUUCCUCAUGAAGGUGUUUAUUUCCUACAGAACUCAUAAUUAAGUUUGCAUGGUUUUUUUGUUUUGUUUUGUUUUGUUUUGUUUUUGUUUUUGUUUUUUUUUUGCUGCUCUGUCUUUUGUCACAGGGACCUUAGCCUUGAAUCUAAGAUGAGUAGAAGGAAAAAAAUGUUCUUUUUUUUUUUUUUUGUUCUUUUUUUCGGAGCUGGGGACCGAACCCAGGGCCUUGCGCUUCCUAGGCAAGCGCUCUACCACUGAGCUAAAUCCCCAACCCCGGAAAAAAAUGUUCUUACCCUCCACUCUUUAUUUUCAAAGAUCCUUCACCCAGACUGUCACCUUUACCUAACACCCCUCUUACUGGAGUUUUGUUUGCUUGAUUAUUUUUUUCUAUUCCCCCACUUUACUCGGUUGUCAAUGAUCCGU